GAGGGUAUAGCUCAGUGGUAGGUAGACCGCGUGCUUAGCAUGCAUGGGUCCUGGGUUCAAUCCCCAGUAGCUCCG
RNAcentral lists this transfer RNA (75 nucleotides) under Camelus bactrianus (Bactrian camel). It matches the Rfam family "tRNA". Rfam says of the family: Transfer RNA (tRNA) molecules are approximately 80 nucleotides in length. Their secondary structure includes four short double-helical elements and three loops (D, anti-codon, and T loops). Further hydrogen bonds mediate the characteristic L-shaped molecular structure. tRNAs have two regions of fundamental functional importance: the anti-codon, which is responsible for specific mRNA codon recognition, and the 3' end, to which the tRNAs corresponding amino acid is attached (by aminoacyl-tRNA synthetases). tRNAs cope with the degeneracy of the genetic code in two manners: having more than one tRNA (with a specific anti-codon) for a particular amino acid; and 'wobble' base-pairing, i.e. permitting non-standard base-pairing at the 3rd anti-codon position. RNAcentral also lists the same sequence under 2 other names. The record is from Rfam by way of RNAcentral. Lineage: Eukaryota; Metazoa; Chordata; Mammalia; Artiodactyla; Camelidae.